UAUAAAUACACACCACAGUUAUUUCUCUAUACUUCAUAUGUUCAAUGACUAUUAUGGUGUUUAAGUGCUGUGUAGUGGGGCUGUUCCUGGUUUUGCUGUUCUGGGAUGUUCAUUGCUAUCCCUAUCAACAAGCCUACAGGUUGGGCCAAGUCUACCCAAGAAUUUCAACUCUAUGGUCCACUUGUCAAACCCAGCCAAAUUAACGCCUACACACGUUACUUCCUUAAACAUGAACCCAUUUCUUCUGGUUCAAGCCUCCCUGUUCCUGUUGACUCUAGGAGUCCUAUUGAUGGGGGCUCCAAUCUUGGUAUUUAGAGUUUUGCUCCCUUGAAGACUACUGCUUCCCCUUACCUCGUUCCUCAGGCUCCUGAACAGACUGGAUGUCUUUCUGCAGGAGUAGCUUACCCUAGUUUUCUUCCUUUACCUCCACGGUGUGAGUCUUCACCAAGUACCUUCCAGGCAGGGGAAAUCUCUCACUUUGAGAGUGUUUAUGAACAUGGCAACAGAGUGAGUUUGAAGACCAAUGGUUCCCACUUCCUGAGGGUGCAGUUGAGGCAGGUUCUAUUCCAGCCCCACUCCCUGCUACAAUAGCCCCACCCCUAUCCCAAGUUAUUAGACCAGAACCUAGCCAGGAAGGUCUUGAGGCUCAUUAUGGGGAGCUGUUCAUCACUAGGAAGUUCCCUGCUGGCAUCAUCACCCAUUUAAGAACCACAUAUGACCAAUGGAGCUCAGCUAGUUUCGUCAGGUACCAUCCUGCUCCCGUCCAAUACCGACCACUAUCUCCUCAUGCCCGCCGGCAGUGACCAGUAGGAGAAGGUUCUGUGCUAACCUGGAUCCUGCUGUUUCAUGGCUGUGUUGCUUACUAAUAAACCUACUUGAGAAAUGUA
This is a long non-coding RNA of Oncorhynchus tshawytscha (Chinook salmon), 887 nucleotides long. NCBI's taxonomy places the organism in Eukaryota, Metazoa, Chordata, Actinopteri, Salmoniformes, Salmonidae. The record is from Ensembl.